AGGGAAUCUUCCACAAUGGACGCAAGUCUGAUGGAGCAACGCCGCGUGAGUGAAGAAGGUUUUCGGACCGUAAAGCUCUGUUGUUGGUGAAGAAGGAUAGAGGUAGUAACUGGCCUUUAUUUGACGGUAAUCAACCAGAAAGUCACGGCUAACUACGUGCCAGCAGCCGCGGUAAUACGUAGGUGGCAAGCGUUGUCCGGAUUUAUUGGGCGUAAAGCGAGCGCAGGCGGAAGAAUAAGUCUGAUGUGAAAGCCCUCGGCUUAACCGAGGAAUUGCAUCGGAAACUGUUUUCUUGAGUGCAGAAGAGGAGAGUAGAACUCCAUGUGUAGCGGUGGAAUGCGUAGAUAUAUGGAAGAAUACCAGUGGCGAAGGCGGCUCUCUGGUCUGCAACUGACGCUGAGGCUCGAAAAGCAUGGGUAGCGAACAGGAUUAGAUACCCUGGUAGUCCAUGCCGUAAAACGAUGAGUGCUAAGUGUUGGGAGGCUUCCGCCUCUCAGUGCUGCAGCUAACGCAUUAAGCACUCCGCCUGGGGGAGUACGACCGC
RNAcentral lists this ribosomal RNA (544 nucleotides) under uncultured bacterium. RNAcentral's name for it is "partial 16S ribosomal RNA". It matches the Rfam family "Bacterial small subunit ribosomal RNA", at positions 356 to 889 of the family's 1533-position model. The record is from RNAcentral.